UAACGUAACUUCAAUUGUUUAUUUGGAAAAUCCAACAAUAUAAUGUUCAUUAGAAUUUAUAUCAUUAAUUUCAUGUAAUCCAUUAUGGUGCAUCAUGCUUUUUAAUUCCUUUACAAAAUUUUUAAUGGUACAAGAUUAGGUAAUUGUUCCACCAUAUUAUGAGCUAUCCAAAUGAAAUCAAAUCUACUAAUAUAUGCCAUUUUAUGUUUAGAAGUUGAUAAAAAUGUAAUAGGAUGGAAGAUUAUCUGAAAGUAUAAUGUAGAUUGUUAAAUUUAUUAAUUUUGCACAGUAUUUUAUGGUUCGUAAAUAAGUGAUAAUUUUAUAAUUCUCUAUGAUACUUUAUGAUUUUUAACAUUUAUCCAAGAUAUAUCAUUCCACUUAUAUUUAUUUUUCUCUUUUUCCCAUGAUUCUUGUUCCAUUUCUUUAUUUGGUGUUUCAAUUACUAAUGUUCCAUUUAGGAUAGAAGAAUCUCUAUGCGAUGCAAUAAGUUCUUGGCAUAUUGAUUCUCCAGUUCUAAUUUCAUACAUAUGCUUCAUAAUUUCCCUCUCAGCUAUAUCAGUUGCUCUAUAUCUACUAUAUUAUUGUGUUUUAUUACUUUCAAUAUGGUAAUAUCAAUAGUAUCACAACAAAAUACAAAUUUAGAAUGCAGCUUACAUAUUAUCAUCACUUUUCUCCUGUAAAGCCCAAGUGAAGAAAGGACCAUUUGUUAUGUCUCCUAAGUAAGUAUAAUGUACAAACCCAGGACCAUAUUGUAUAAUAUUGUUUAACAAUGUUGGAUUACUUCUAACAGGUUCACCUUCUAACCAAGUAAAUGCAAUUCCAUUAUUUCUCCAAAAUCUAAUAUUAAAAUAGGAAAUAAGUUAUAAAAAUAUGCUGA
Bombus pascuorum is the source of this 877-nucleotide long non-coding RNA. RefSeq lists it as uncharacterized. Lineage: Eukaryota; Metazoa; Arthropoda; Insecta; Hymenoptera; Apidae. The record is from RefSeq and is a predicted model, not a curated record. The transcript has 2 exons.